GCCGACGUGGUGAAAUUGGUAGACACGCACGCUUGAGGGGCGUGUUGCGCAAGCAGUGCCGGUUCGACUCCGGCCGUCGGCACCA
This 85-nucleotide transfer RNA is filed under the name Leucothrix mucor. RNAcentral's name for it is "tRNA-Leu". It matches the Rfam family "tRNA". From Rfam's summary of the family: Transfer RNA (tRNA) molecules are approximately 80 nucleotides in length. Their secondary structure includes four short double-helical elements and three loops (D, anti-codon, and T loops). The record is from RNAcentral. Lineage: Bacteria; Pseudomonadati; Pseudomonadota; Gammaproteobacteria; Thiotrichales; Thiotrichaceae. RNAcentral also lists the same sequence under 2 other names.